RNAcentral lists this long non-coding RNA (456 nucleotides) under Pan troglodytes (chimpanzee). RNAcentral's name for it is "lincRNA". The record is from RNAcentral. Lineage: Eukaryota; Metazoa; Chordata; Mammalia; Primates; Hominidae.
GGUAUCCAUGUUGGAAUCUCUCAUUUGAUUCUUAUUCAAAUUUAGGUUCUGUCAAUAGAAGAUACUAAAGAAAGAAAGCCAGGAGAAGAAAAGAGACUUCUUUCUUCAAGGUCUAAGCUGUUCUAAUAGCAUUAUUCUGGGAAUGGCAUCUUCCACUCCUCCUAGUACAAAGAACCUGCUUCCUCAUACCCCGUCAAGGAACUGCAGCAUCCAGGUGAUGGCCACAGUGGCAGAACCUAGGAAGCCAAGAAGAAACCAGAGAAUGGAGACACAUGGCAGCAAUGGCAAGUCAUCAGACCCAGGAUUUCCCAAAGAACACUGGUCCAGGAAGAUGCUCUGUGAAAAAGUGUUCCCUGGUCAGAGAAAUUUGUGAAACACUUUGCAUACUUAAAAGAAUGUAUGGCACAUCAAAGGUAAUAUGCAAUAAAAGAAUUCAUUUUUUAAAAACCAAGCAUA